RNAcentral lists this ribosomal RNA (450 nucleotides) under uncultured bacterium. Its description in RNAcentral is "partial 16S ribosomal RNA". It matches the Rfam family "Bacterial small subunit ribosomal RNA", at positions 354 to 796 of the family's 1533-position model. The record is from RNAcentral.
GUGGGGAAUAUUGGACAAUGGGCGAAAGCCUGAUCCAGCCAUGCCGCGUGUGUGAAGAAGGUCUUCGGAUUGUAAAGCACUUUAAGUUGGGAGGAAGGGUAGUAACCUAAUACGUUGCUACUUUGACGUUACCGACAGAAUAAGCACCGGCUAACUUCGUGCCAGCAGCCGCGGUAAUACGAAGGGUGCAAGCGUUAAUCGGAAUUACUGGGCGUAAAGCGCGCGUAGGUGGUUUUGUAAGUUGGAGGUGAAAUCCCCGGGCUCAACCUGGGAACUGCCUCCAAAACUGCAUGACUAGAGUACGGUAGAGGGUAGUGGAAUUUCCUGUGUAGCGGUGAAAUGCGUAGAUAUAGGAAGGAACACCAGUGGCGAAGGCGACUACCUGGACUGAUACUGACACUGAGGUGCGAAAGCGUGGGGAGCAAACAGGAUUAGAAACCCGGGUAGUCC